Long non-coding RNA from Sciurus carolinensis (gray squirrel), 1628 nucleotides. RefSeq lists it as uncharacterized. The record is from RefSeq and is a predicted model, not a curated record. Lineage: Eukaryota; Metazoa; Chordata; Mammalia; Rodentia; Sciuridae. The transcript is spliced from 5 exons.
UUGGCUGUCCCUUCAUAACCAUAAGAUAAUUGAAACAAGGGGGGGGGGAAGGUUAAAAAAAACUUUUUUUUUUUAUCAGCCAGAGGUUAAUGCAAGUGUUUAACAGAUGCUUCACUAUUAAAAUAUUUCCCCCCAAGUCUCAAAUAUUGGACAAUCUCAAAUCAGGUAACAGAGGCAGGAAAGUGAGCAGGAAGGCUAAUACGGUUUUGUGAGGGAGACCGGAGAGCCGAGCAGCAGGCGCGAGGACCCCAUGAAGGGGUGGCUGGUAGCCAACAAGUUCUUUUUGCGGAGGAGGAUACACCGCGCGGCUGGGAAGGGUGCUUCCUUUGACCUGGCACAGGUCGGAAACGCCAGACUCGGUGGCUUUUUACUUAGCCAUUGCGUUACCUCGGUCAGAGCUGUUUGGAGUGGCUCAGGGACACCAGCCCCAUCGGAGACUUUGGAAGAUUUCAAAGUGCUGGGUACCUCGAUUCCCCGAAUCUGUGGUGUGGACGGUAUCGGUGUUCCCCUGGUUUAACUAGCCUGUUUGAAGGCGCAGUUCAUUCUUAGUGAAGUACAACUGAAACCAGUCUUCCCUACCCUCUUGGGGGUCUUCGCUUUCCCAUUCUACAUCUGCCUGUGACUUCAGGAAGAAACUUGAUUGGCCAAGCUACCAGAAGAUCCAGCCUGACAGCGAUUGGUGCCAGUCGGCCAGGUGUGUCCUUCCCGCGCCUCUACCUCUCGCCAGGGCAUCUCUUCUGGCGGACUCGCAGUAUCCAUGCUCGCUGCCCUGAAGCCGCACAAAACCGCGGCUCCGCGACGAUCGUCCGGGCCUCAGCCCUGCUGGAUGAUGGGCAUAGGGCAGCAAGAUGCAGGGCUGCGGUAGCGGCCCGGGAAUGUCGGGUGGCAAGAGGCGCGGCCAGAGCCUGCGUCUCAGAUUAGACUCCGGCUCCCCAGCCACUGCUGUGGCUUCUGGGCCGCCCCCCUUCCUUCUGGUUAAAUUCUCGUUUUGAUCCCCACCCUCUCGGUUCCCGACACGGAGGAGGCGAGUUAUCCGCCCUUAGGCCAGGGGAGGUCACCGCUCGGGGAGGGGUGGACCCUCUGCUUCGCUAGCGCAUCUCCGAGGACUUUUCGCCCCAGGCGGGCAGGAAGGGGUUAAUGACUCCCCUUUCCCACCCUCACUUCGGAGCCCCUGGUGCUGGGCGAAGGCCACUGCUUCCCUCUUGAGGUCUCAUUAGGGAAACCCUCACCGCUAUUUUCAACAUUUCCUCAAUCAAGUGCCUUUAAAUAGAGCUGCACAAACAAAUUGGCGGCAAAAGCGUAGAUCUUGUCACGAUUGAGACCAAUCCAAUAUUUCAGCCUUGUUUGCUUUGCAAUUACGGGUUGGCUUGUGGCUGCGGUGCCACCGGGGCAAAUCUGCAGCCGUCCGCUUUCUCCUCCGCACCCUGGGUGGGUGGAGGAAGCGACCCGCGGAGGCAGUGCUGGGAGAGGAGGGGGCGGCACGGGAGAGGCGGGCGGUGGGCGGGGGCGCCUUUCUGGACCCCCUUGCAAAGGGCGAGCAGAGCAGUGUCAGAGGAGACAGACAUUUUAGGUUCCUGACUGAGCCACUGAGGUAGAUACAAUAACAAUAAAGUGCAUCCUUCACACAU